CAGAUUAUCCUGGUUUUGGAACUACAAUAUGGGCAAUGGACAAUUUCACCACAUUAUGCUCCACUAAUGCCUUAAAAAGUAACUGAGUGUUAACGACGCAGCAAUCCAGUUAUGUUCCAUCUCCCUGGCGCGGCGGCUUGACGGAGUCGUAAGACCGAUAAGCCCAACACAACCAUUAAAUCACCCUUUAAGGGUUUAUUAAGCCAGAAGUAAAUAUACGACUAAUAUAAAAGAAGACAUUUGCAUCUUGCGUCAAAACCUUUUUUACAAAUUCGGAAAAACAAUAGUACACGUGCGACCUCAAACCAUUUAAAACAUGGCAAUGUAUUAUUAUUUAUUUAUUCCAAACAGUUUACCGUUAUAGAUAUAUUUUGUUGUAACUGUAAUAAAA
This is a long non-coding RNA of Manduca sexta (tobacco hornworm), 391 nucleotides long. RefSeq lists it as uncharacterized. The transcript is spliced from 3 exons. The record is from RefSeq and is a predicted model, not a curated record. Lineage: Eukaryota; Metazoa; Arthropoda; Insecta; Lepidoptera; Sphingidae.